AUCUCGGCUCUCGCAUCGAUGAAGAACGUAGCGAAAUGCGAUACUUGGUGUGAAUUGCAGAAUCCCGUGAACCAUCGAGUCUUUGAACGCAAGUUGCGCCCGAAGCCUUUAGGUCGAGGGCACGCCUGCCUGGGCGUCACGCAUCGCGUCUCCCCCCACCAC
Molecule: ribosomal RNA, 162 nt
Filed under: Atriplex canescens (four-winged saltbush)
Lineage: Eukaryota; Viridiplantae; Streptophyta; Magnoliopsida; Caryophyllales; Amaranthaceae
Description: 23S ribosomal RNA
Rfam family: 5.8S ribosomal RNA (bases 1-139)
About the family: 5.8S ribosomal RNA (5.8S rRNA) is a component of the large subunit of the eukaryotic ribosome. It is transcribed by RNA polymerase I as part of the 45S precursor that also contains 18S and 28S rRNA.
Source: RNAcentral